CCGGCCGUUAUUUUGGACCCAAAAUCCCACUGUCCACCCAAAACCCGACCUUCACGCUCUCUCGCUGCAUACCAUUUCUUGAGCUAUGGCGUUGCUAGAGCAAAAGAAUGUGGCCGAUGUGAAUAAUGUGAGUACUGGCACCGAAAUCCCUUCCAACGUCACCAUUUACAUCAACAAUCUCAACGAGAAAAUCAAAAUCGA
Molecule: unclassified non-coding RNA, 201 nt
Filed under: Hevea brasiliensis (rubber tree)
Lineage: Eukaryota; Viridiplantae; Streptophyta; Magnoliopsida; Malpighiales; Euphorbiaceae
Source: RNAcentral